UACGGGGGGGGCAAGCGUUGUUCGGAAUUACUGGGCGUAAAGGCUCGUAGGCGGCCAACUAAGUCGGAUGUGAAAUCCCCAGGCUUAACCUGGGAACUGCAUCCGAUACUGGAUGGCUUGAAUCCGGGAGAGGGAUGCAGAAUUCCAGGUGUAGCGGUGAAAUGCGUAGAUAUCUGGAGGAAUACCGGUGGCGAAGGCGGCAUCCUGGACCGGCAUUGACGCUGAUGAGCGAAAGCUAGGGGAGCAACGGGG
This 252-nucleotide ribosomal RNA is filed under the name uncultured bacterium. Its description in RNAcentral is "partial 16S ribosomal RNA". It matches the Rfam family "Bacterial small subunit ribosomal RNA", at positions 524 to 776 of the family's 1533-position model. The record is from RNAcentral.